RNAcentral lists this ribosomal RNA (484 nucleotides) under uncultured bacterium. RNAcentral's name for it is "partial 16S ribosomal RNA". It matches the Rfam family "Bacterial small subunit ribosomal RNA", at positions 30 to 507 of the family's 1533-position model. The record is from RNAcentral.
AUUGAACGCUGGCGGCAGGCCUAACACAUGCAAGUCGAGCGGAUGAAGGGAGCUUGCUCCUGGAUUCAGCGGCGGACGGGUGAGUAAUGCCUAGGAAUCUGCCUGGUAGUGGGGGAUAACGUCCGGAAACGGGCGCUAAUACCGCAUACGUCCUGAGGGAGAAAGUGGGGGAUCUUCGGACCUCACGCUAUCAGAUGAGCCUAGGUCGGAUUAGCUAGUUGGUGGGGUAAAGGCCUACCAAGGCAACGAUCCGUAACUGGUCUGAGAGGAUGAUCAGUCACACUGGAACUGAGACACGGUCCAGACUCCUACGGGAGGCAGCAGUGGGGAAUAUUGGACAAUGGGCGAAAGCCUGAUCCAGCCAUGCCGCGUGUGUGAAGAAGGUCUUCGGAUUGUAAAGCACUUUAAGUUGGGAGGAAGGGCAGUAAGUUAAUAUCUUGCUGUUUUGACGUUACCAACAGAAUAAGCACCGGCUAACUUCGUG